This 262-nucleotide unclassified non-coding RNA is filed under the name fungal sp. RNAcentral's name for it is "partial internal transcribed spacer region". The stretch from base 1 to 46 matches the Rfam family "Eukaryotic small subunit ribosomal RNA", at positions 1786 to 1831 of the family's 1831-position model. Lineage: Eukaryota; Fungi. The record is from RNAcentral.
AAGUCGUAACAAGGUUUUCGUAGGUGAACCUGCGGAAGGAUCAUUAGUGAAUUUUAACAAUUUAAAAAUUCCAGACUUUGUAAAAAAAGAACGGAAUUUUUUUAUUAACACUUUUCACAAACACUUUGUGCACUUGUUUAAUCAUUUUCUGGUCAAACAGAAAAUUUUUAUAUAACACUUGUGUCAAAUUUUAUAAAGUCCAAGUUGAUUAAAUUUGUUAAAAACGAAAGUAAAACUUUCAGCAAUGGAUCUCUUGGCUCUC